AUCCUUUAGAUGAUGAUGUUGUCGAUUGGUUUUACCUGUUAUUCUGUAAUUGCUUCAUCUUGAAUCAAGAUUCAAUUGAUAACAUUGAGGCAAAUGCCAUGCUCAAAAUUAGAUACCUGGCAGAGAAACAGAGAUUGACAUAGGAGUAUCAUUAUCUUCUAUAUAGAUUAUUUUACUGUUUCACAGGAAACAAAAUUUUAACAAAUAUGUUCGAGCAUCAGAGCACGAGUUCUUCGUUAGUUUUGAAGAUAGCCCCAAAUGGGCCCAGUGGGAGUAGAUUCUAGGCCUUUUCCAUCAGCUUUGUGGCUGAUCUCACGCGCUGCCACCACCAUGAAUAUCUUAAAUUUAUCUAUGAAUACCAAUUGACAACCGCCAGUGGUGGUGAUUAUGAAAAGUUCACAAGUCAGUAGAGUUCCUGUACAGACCUUGAGACGGAGAGGAAGUAUAUAAGUGAUCAUGUGCUGAUUCUGUUUAGUGAGCAUAUGGUUAAAAAAAAGAGGAUUAUCAGGGGGCUUCAUUUGAAUUCUACAUUGAAAAUCCCAAUUACAAUGUAGAAGGAGAAGAAAUUGAAGUCGAAUAUAUAAAGGUGGAGAAAUAUGGUGUACAUGUAUCUUAUAUAGAUGAAGAACCCAGCACCACCCCCACAACAUAAAAGUCCUAGGCACACUUAAGCACUAAACUUAAUUCUUGAUGAAGUUGGCCAACAUGCUGCAACACCAGCCAACAUGCAGAUCAUGAAGAUCAACCAAGGCAGAAGCUGCUUCUCAAGCUCAAAUGAUCUAGUUCUUGUUCAUUUAGUAACUUCUAGUUAAUGAAAUGUAAUUUAGUUCAUUUAGUACUAUGUUAGGUAUAUGAUUGAUGUAAUUUACAGCCAUAUGAGCUGUUAAUUCAGCUUUGUUUGUAUGCACAAGUUAAUUACUUCAAGUUUCAAUGUUUAGUGGUGUUAGGUAACUAUUAGGUGAUUGUUUACUGUUUUUGACAAGCUUAGUGCUUGGUUUAUGUAUUGGCAUUAUGCUAUUGUUUACUCAAUGAAUGAAAUCAGUUUGUUCAUCAAUUUUCCUCUCCAUUUUCCAUAGCUUUUUCUUCUUUCUUUUACUCGAAUUCAUUUGAUUCCUCAACAAGUAUCGAGGCUUGUUGCACAAAACACUUGCCGAGUUUGUUAUUUCAGUUACAGCUCCAAAAAUUGGUAUCUAGAGACUAUUUCUUAAGGGAUCUGUUAUACAAAUCUAUGGCUUCAUCAAGCUUUUCACCAACUGCACCUGAAGUCUUCAAUGGAGAAGGCUACCACAUAUGGGUGGUCAAAAUGAAAACCUACCUGCAGGCUUUCGAUCUGUGGGAGGUAAUCAACUCAGAUGUUGAACCAGAGCCACUUAGAGCCAAUCCAACAGUGGCUCAAAUCAGGCAGCAUGCUGAUGAGAGGACCAAGAGGCACAAGGCCAUGUCUUGCAUCCAGAACUCAGUGUCAGAUGUGAUUUUCACAAGGAUUAUGGCCUGUGAAACACCAAAACAAGCCUGAGACAAGUUGCAAGAGGAGUUUCAAGGGACAGAGAGGACAAGGCAGCAACAGUUGUUGAACUUGAGGAGAGAAUUCAAGAAUUUGAAGAUGAAGGAAGAAGAAACUGUCAAGCAGUACUCUGACAGGAUUAUGGCUAUGGUUAACAGCAUUAGGCUCCUUGGAGAGCAGUUCAAUGAAGCUAGGAUAGUGGAGAAGGUUAUUGCAACUCUGCCUGAGAAAUAUGAUGCAAAAAUCUCAUCUCUCGAAGACUUAAGGGACCUGUCCACCAUCUCCCUAACAGAGUUGAUCAAUGCUCUAUAUGCUCAAGAGCAGAGGAGAGCAAGCAUACUGGAGGAGCAUCAAGAAGGUGCCUUUUAAGCAAGAACAAAUAUUGCCUACAAAGGCAAGAAGGGCUGGAGAGACAAGCCAAGGUCUGAUGCUGCAAGAAAAGAGGGUCAGACUUGCAAGCACUGCAGAAGAGUUGGUCAUCCAGAAGAAAAAUGCUGAUUCAAUCCAGAUGCUGUAUGUCAGCAUUGUAAGAAGAAGGGUAAUGUUGAGAGAGUCUGUAAGAGAAAGGCCAAAUCAAGGCAGAAUCAGUUUCAACAGAUGAAAGCUGAGGCUCGAGUGGCUAAAGAGGACAGUGACCAAGAGGAGCAGGUCUUUGAUGUGUCAUGCUCAGCUUCACAGGAAAGACUCUCAUUUGGUUGGCUCCUAAACAGUGGAUGCACCAACCACAUGACACCUGAUGCUGCUAUCUUCAAGUCCUUAGACAGAAGCUGCAAAACUAAAGUCAAGAUAGGUAAUGGUCACCUUAUCCAAGCUGAAGGCAAGGGUGAUGUGCUGAUAUGCACUUCUACAGGUGCCAAAGUGAUUUCAAAUGUGCUUCUAGUGCCUGAAAUUGACAGAAACCUGCUCAGCAUAGCUCAAUUGCUUGAGAAAGGUUAUUCUGUGGUGUUCACAGACAAUCAGUGCCAAAUCAGUGGUCCAAGUGGAUCCAAGCUAAUGGCAGUCCCUAUGGCUGAUAAGAGCUUUGUGGUUGACUGGACAAAGGAGUCAGACAUUGCCUACACAGCUACAUCAGAUGAAUCCAAGCUUUGGCAUCAAAGGCUUGGACAUGCCAACUUCAGAUCGAUGGCUCGAAUGGUCAGAGAGGACUUGGCUGAAAACUUCACCAACUCAGUGGAGCAUGAUGAUGUAUGUGAAGUAUGUCAGCUAGGAAAGUAGGCUAGACUUCCAUUUCCCUCGAAUCAAGCCUAGACAGCCUCUGAAAAACUCUAACUGGUACACACUGAUGUGUGUGGCCCCAUGAAUACUGGGUCAUUAAGAGGAAACAAGUAUUUCAUACUGUUCAUUGAUGAUUUCUCGAGAUAUUGUUGGCUUUACUUCUUGAAACAAAAAUCAGAGGUGGCCUCAGUGUUUUGGAAGUUUAAGACUGCUGCUGAGACUGAAACAGGCCGCAAGCUGAAGACCAUAAGGUCUAAUAAUGGUACUGAGUACACCUCAGCUCAGUUCCAAGCCUUUUGUGAUAAGGCAGGUAUCAAACAUCAACUUACCAACACUUAUACACCUCAGCAAAAUGGUGUAAGUGAAAGGAAGAAUAGGAGUUUGAUGGAUAUGGCUAGGUGCCUGAUGAUUCAGAAGAAUCUGCCUAAAGCUCUAUGGGCAGAAGCAGUUAACACUGCAACCUAUAUUCAAAAUAGGCUUCCAACCAUGGAUUUGGACCAGAAGACUCCAUUCGAGGCCUAGUUUGGAUUCAAGCCAUCACUGGCUCAUCUGAAAGUCUUUGGAUGCAUCUAUUAUGCACAUGUACCUGCUGUUAAACGGGAGAAGUUGUCUAAAAGGGCUCGACCUGGUGUUCUGGUGGGCUACAGCACUGUCAAGAAGUGCUAUAGUAUCUUGGAUCCUUCAACAAACAAAGUGUUAGUUAGCAGGAAUGUGGUAUUCAAUGAGAGAUUAUGUUGGAACUGGGAAAGACAUGAAGCUGAGGAAGUCUCAGAAGAACCUGCAGCAGAUCAAGCUGAGCCAGACCAAAAUGGUCCUGAAAUAGACAUUGAUGAUGAAUCAGUCAGAGGAACAAGACCAUUGACUGAGAUUUAUGAAAGGGCUCAUGUAGCCAUAGCUGAACCAAGCAACUUUGAAGAAGCAGAAGCUCAGCAAGGAUAGAGGCAGGUAAUGGCUGAGGAGAUCAGCAUGAUUGAGAAGAACCAAACCUGGGAAUUGGUUGAAAGGCCAGUCAAAAGGAAGGUAAUUGGGGUGAAAUGGGUAUACAAAGCCAAGCAGAAUGCUGAUGGAACCUUGAACAAACUGAAAGCAAGGCUGGUUGUCAAAGGGUUCAGUCAGAAAUAUGGCCUGGACUACCUGGAGACCUUUGCACCAGUGGCCAGGCUUGACACCAUAAGGCUAUUGAUUGCCUUAGUUGCACAAAUGCAGUGGAAAAUUCACCAGCUUGAUGUGAAGUCAGCCUUUCUAAAUGGAUUUCUUGAGGAAGACAUCUAUGUUGAACAACCUCAGGGGUUUGAAAUAGCUGGGAAGGUGCAGAUGGUAUAUAAGCUGAAGAAAGCCUUGUAUGGCUUGAAACAGGCUCCUAGAGCCUGGUACAGCAGAAUCGAUGGUUACCUUGUUGAUUUGGGAUUCGACAGGAGCAAGAGUGAGCCAACACUCUAUGUUAAGAAGGAAGGGACAUAAACACAGCUUAUUGUGUCUCUGUAUGUUGAUGAUCUGUUGGUGACAGGAGGAGACCAAGCAAUGCUGGCUGAUUUCAAGACCAAGAUGCAUGAGAUGUUUGAAAUGUCUGAUUUUGGGGAAGAUGUCCUAUUUUCUUGGCAUGGAGGUGUCACAAAUGCAGAAGAGGAUAUUUCUAAGCCAGAAGAGCUUCUCCUCGAAGAUUUUAACCAAGUUCUAUAUGGAAAACAGUAGAGCAACAAAGACUCCUGUUGCUGUUGGAGAAAAACUAUCGAGCCAAGGUGAUUUUGAGAAGGUUUGUGAAACAACCUACAGAAGUCUAGUUGGUUGCUUGCUGUAUUUAACUGCAAUGAGACCAGACAUAAUGUAUGUUGUAGGUUUGCUCUCAAGGUUCUUGCAUUGUUGCAAUGAGAAGCAUUUUCGAGCAGCAAAGAGAGUGCUCAGGUAUAUCAAAGGUACAUUGAGCUAUGGCUUGAUGUAUAGGAAAGAAGAAAGCCUAAAACUGUUUGGGUAUACUGACAGUGAUUGGGCUGGCUCAUUGGAUGACAUGAAAAGCACCUCAGGGUAUGCUUUCAGUCUUGGUUCAGCCAUGUUCUGUUGGAGCUCGAAGAAGCAAACCUUGGUGGCUCAAUCAACUGCUGAAGCAGAAUAUGUUGCAGCAGCAAGUGCUGUCAACCAAGCCAAUUGGCUAAGAAAAAUCAUGAAUAAUUUGAAUGUGAGUCAAAAGAGAGCAACAGAGAUCUUUUGUGACAAUCAAUCUACUGUUGCCAUUGCCAAAAAUCCAGUGUUCCAUUGGAGAACAAAGCAUUUCAGCAUCAAACUCCAUGUUGUACGAGAAAUGGAGGAAGCAUUAGAAGUCAAGCUAAUUCAUUGCAAGACAGAUGAUCAAAUUGCUGAUAUUUUGACCAAGGGUCUUAAUGCAACUAAGUUCGAAUAUUUAAGGAAAAUGUUAGGAGUUUGCAGCAUGCUACCCAAUGAGGAGUGAUGAAGUUGGCCAGCAUGCUGCAACACCAGCCAACAUGCAGAUCAUGAAGAUCGACCAAGGCAGAAGCUGCUUCUCAAGCUCAAAUGAUCUAGUUCUUGUUCAUUUUGUAACUUCUAGUUAAUGAAAUGUAAUUUAGUUCAUUUAGAACUAUGUUAGGUAUGUGAUUGAUGUAAUUUGCAGCCAUAUGAGCUAUUAAUUCAGCUUUGCUUGUAUGCACAAGUUAAUUGCUUCAAGUUUCAAUGUUUAGUGGUGUUAGGUAACUAUUAGGUGAUUGUUUACUGUUUUUGACAAGCUUAGUGCUUGGUUUAUGUAUUGGCAUUAUGCUAUUGUUUACUCAAUGAAUGAAAUCAGUUUGUUCAUCAAUUUUCCUCUCCAUUUUCCUUAGCUUUUUCUUCUUUCUUUUGCUCGAAUUCAUUUGAUUCCUCAGCAAGCAUCGAGGCUUGUUGCACAAGACACUUGCCGAGUCUGUUAUUUCAGUUAUAGCUCCAGCAAUUCUUCAGUAGCAUAAGUGAGCUUUAUUUCACCUGUAGUUUUUCUAGUAUAAGUUAGCCAUAACCUAGAGAUUAAGGUUUGACAAUCUAAAUUUGAUUCUAUGAAGGGAAUGAGGAUGACAGAACAGAGACAAUAGGGAAUGGCAAAUCUUCGGAGGUUUGAUGAUGCCACUGCUUAAUUGGAGUUUUUGCCAUACAAGGAGGAACAACUAAGCUGUAAGAACUUGUUUUACUGAAUUCUUGCUUUAUACAAGUGUUUGAACUGAGAUUUUGAGACAACGCAAGUUGUUAACAGAUUUGCCUUCUUCAUUCUAUUCAACAUGGUGCAACUUAAUAUUUUCUUUUCUUUGAUUUUGAUUAUCAUAUCAAUUUGGGCUUAAAUUUCUUUGUAUGCAGCCGCCUUUCAAGUUGUUUGAGCAUUGUAGUGAGGAGAUAUUUAAGAUUCAUACUGACUAGUUGCGGAUUGGUUUUAAUUCAUAGGGAAUUAAUGGUACAUCUUUGGAAAGACCAUUAUAGUUGGAGCUUUAACUACACAAAAGAGGAGGAACAAGUAAGCUUUUAAUUUCUUUUUCUGAAUGCUCGUUUCAUACUUUGUGCUUGAACUGAGAUUUUCAGGCCAUUAUUUAUUUGGGAUUUGCAGAGAUAGUGCUGUUGAAUAUUGCAGUGAAAAUUUCAAUCAUGGAGUUUUGAGAUUUCAAUGCAUUAGCAGAAAAGCUUGAGGGGUUUCAAGUUAAGAUUUCAUAAAAAAAAGCUUCCAGAUUUGGUGCUCAAUUCAUGUCAUAGGCAUCAAUUUUAAGCAAUCAAAUGAUAGUUGAGAUUUAAUUAUAUGGUAUCUCCAUACUCACUGAAGUUUCCUUCAAUGAUUAUUAUUUUUUCCUUACAAAAACACAUUCAAAUUUUAUGUUAUUAAUGGUUUUAUUUGCGUUAAUAAAAAAUUGGAUUGAUUUCUAUUUAAGAAAAUAUUAAUAAGUAGAUUAUUUUCUUCACGGUUCGUGUCCCAUUGAAAGUCCUUUACUUCCAAGAUUACAAGUAGAUCUUAAUAAAUGUAUUUUAAUUAUUAUUAUCCAACGCUUAAUUUAUUGUAUUUGACAAGGCCACUAAACUACUAGUAAAUUUAUAUUUCGAUAAUUUAAUUUCAAAACAUAAUAAAAUAAUCAUUGAUCUAUUUGAAAAGUUUUCCUUUAAAUUACUGAACUAUUCAAAAGUUAUUAAUUUAAGUCACACAUUGCUACCACUAUGACAAACUUACAUUUAAAUACCAAUUUAAAGUCGCUUGUGAUAAUAGUUAUGAAAAGAUCACAAGUGAAUAAUGUUAGGAAAUAGAAAGAUCAAAGGUAUAUAGGUAAUUAUGUUUUGAUUCUAUCUAGUGAGAAUAUGGUUAAGAAAGAUAAAGAUUAUGAGGUGGCUUCAUUUGAAAUCUACAUAGAAAAUCCCAAUUUGGUAGUAGAAGAAACUCAAGAAACCAAAUUCUAUGAAGAAGUCCAUUAUAUAAAGGUGAAGAAAUGUGGUGUUCACUAAACCUAAGACCUCAGUUGCAUACGUGGGUCUCAUUUCGUUUUUCAUAUUACCAUAUUUUUCUACCAUUGUUAAUAGUAGGUUUUUAACUUAUGCAUUGCCUAUGAUGGAAAAUGAAGCACUUUAUACAAGUGUUUGAACUAAUAUUUUGAGAGAAUGCAUGCUUUUGAACUAAUGGUAAGUUGUCAACACAAAUUUGAAGUAAUUUUUUAAAGCCCUUUUGGGAUUCUGUCAAUUCAGUCUUGGUGAAGUAAUUUAAAAGGAAUAAAUCCAAGGUAAAUUGGUGAUCUUAUGUUGAUCCCAUAGAGAAACCCAAUAAAACUAGAGAACAAACUUAUAAUAAAUCCAAAUGAAUCAUUUGGGCUUAGUUUGAAGUGUAAAGUUUGCUUCAAGAAUUUAGUCUUUCUAUUUUUAAGAUUUCAAAAUCUCAAUUGUAAACAUUAUUAAUUUUUUUUGUCAAAUUUGUUGGUGUGGCAUUUUGAAAUUAGAAAAAUUUACUCACUUUAUAACCAUGUAGCUAAAAAAAAUGAUGUUGUAAUGAACCUGAAUUUAACAAAAUAAUUUUAACAAUGUUAAUAGUUAGACCCGAAUUUUGAAAUCUGAAAAGUAGAGGGACUAAAAUUUUAAAAUAAAAGGACAUGGACUAAAUUCUAAAUUUGUGUAGAAUAUAUGGACCUAUGACAUAUUUUAACAGUAAGAUUAUCAGAAAUUUGUUUUUUUAUAUUGAUCUAUACUUGUAAUUCGUGCUGCCGCCUCCAACAAAUUCCUAACAAAUGACACUUAUUGGCAUAUUUGAGCCUAGUUGAGAUCCUAUUUCUUGACCUGGACAUUAUAUAUCAAUAAUUUAUAAGGAAUUCCAUCAAAGGGUAAUUCAUGAAUGGUAACAAGAAGUUUUUAAAGUUAUUUAAGAAAUGAAUUUUUCUUAUAAUAAACCGUCAAAAACAAUCGAGCAUAAGAUAGUAUUGUUGCUCUGUUUUUCAACCAAGCGAAGGAUUAUUCAUGAAAGGAGUCUUCAAAUAGUUACUGUAGACAACACAAAUUGAUUAUUUCAUACAUAAAUAAUAAAACAUCAUAUCUUACUUAUAUGAAAGAAUUGUGGGCAGUGUAAUGACAGGAGAGAUUUGACUAAAAGAUGUUAAUCAAUUUUAAUUUGAGUCCUUAAGCUUUCAGGGAUUUUUGAGAAUUCAAUCACUGGGAAAUGACGGAGGUCUAGAUUAUUAAAAGAUUCCAUCUUGAACCAUACAUUUUUACCCUUGAGCCACUCAUAACUAAAGUCUAAAGAUCACUUGGAGGGUCCAGAGACAGACACACCUCUUCAAUUUGAGUUCCGGAUAAGUUCAAUAUUAUUAAGCUUCUUGGGAUUUCUGGAAAUUUGACCAUUGGGUAAUCACUAGAGUUCAGAUUACGAAAAGAUUACAACUUUGAAAUAUUUCUUGAUACGUUUUUUUACCUUUGAGUUUCUCAAGCUCAACAUUUUAAGUCCGAUGGGAUACUCAAUUGAAUUAGCCACUUCAUCUAUUUUUGAUUCACUUAAUUCUAAAAUAGGAAAGUAAUUUGAGAUCUCAAAAGCCUUCUUGAGAAUAUGAGAUCCGGUAAGUCUAAGCCUUUUAAGUGAUGUUAAAUGAUUGAGGCAAGAAAGUUCAACCAAACUUUCACACCACCUACACAGAAGAACUUCAAGGUUGAUGGCUUCCUUAAAAUAAUAAAAAUAAAUCGAAUAAUGUUGCUAUUAAAUAACCUAUGCUACCACAUGAACAAAAAAACUAUUUUAUCAAUUUAUUAAAUAAUAACCCUUAAAUAAAUGGAUAGAUUUAUAUUUUAAAAAUUAUAUUAGCAAAUGGAUGCUCUUUGUCUUAUUGGAAGACAUUGAUUUCGAGAUUACAAACCCAUCUGAGCAAAAUAAUAAUAAUAAACUCCAUCCACCCCCCUUUUCUUUACCCAUUUUUAUUAUAUAAACUAGUAAACAAUUUUUACUCAAAAGGUUCACAUGUCGAUACCACCAAAUGGCAAAUAUUAUUAUAAAAUAGAUUUUUCAAAAUACAAUGAAUGUGUUCUUCAAAGGUUCACAAAUCUAUUUUGCUCUCUCCUGCUUCAAUCACACAAUCAAUACUCUUUCAUGGCUGCUUCCUCUUCAUCUUCUCCUCAAACAGACACAUGCCUUAACUUCAUCACUCAUCUGCUCAAAGCUUUGAAAGACGCGAUGACGAAUGCCUUCUUUCAUGAUGAAAAACCGGAGCAACCUUCACAAGCACUUCCUCAAGCAAUUGCCUCUUCGUCCUCUUCUACUCGAUUGAAGCAUCAGGUUUUCUUGAGCUUCAGAGGUGAAGACACACGCCUUAAUUUCACCGCUCAUCUACUCAAAGCUUUAAAAGACAAUGGAAUGAAUGUUUUCUUCGAUGAAGAAACACUAGAAAAAGGGGAGCAACUUUCGCAAGCACUUACUCGAGCAAUUGCAGCCUCAAAUCUCUCAAUAGUUGUGUUGUCGGUAGACUAUGCUUCUUCAAAAUCAUGCCUGGCUGAUCUCUCUGACAUCAUGCACCGCAAGGACACUCAAGGACAUAUUGUUCUUCCCAUAUUUUACCAUGUUGAUCCUUCUCAUGUGCGGAAUCUUGGUGGUAGUUUCAAAACAUCCUUCAUUCACCAUGAAUCAAAUAGGCUACAUCGAGUACAACGAUGGAAAACUGCCUUCGCUGAAGUCGGUAAAUUAAAAGGAUGGCAUAUAGAAGGAGGCAAAUUCGACAGGUAACUAUACUUUUCUCAUCAUCUUAUGUUAAUAAUCAUUGUUUUAGAUUUAUAUUUUUUUUAUUAUUUGCUAGACCUGAAACUGAGUACAUCAAGGAUAUCGUUGAAUAUGUUAUAAAGAAGUUGAUGAGUAGCAAGUUUAGAAGUGCUUCUGCAGAGUUAAUCGGAAUAGAUUAUCAGAAAAAGACGAUUUUGAGGCUAAUUGAGAAGGAAGAUAGUCGUCUAAUAGGACUCUGGGGACAAGGUGGUAUAGGCAAAACUACCCUCUCUGAUGUUAUAUACAAUGAAAUCUCUUGUAAGUUUGAAGAUAGUUGCUUUCUUCUAAAUGUUAGAGAGAAGUUAAAAAAACAGGGGAUGGAAUCUUUACGAAAUGAACUUCUUUCCAAACUCUUAAAACAAGCAAUUCAUGUAGACACCCCCUCAAUUGGGUCAACUUUAAUCCAAGAGAGGCUAAGCAAUAAAAGAGUACUUGUUGUCCUUGACGAUGUUAAUGACUCGGACCAAAUAGAUUGUUUUGGUGUUAAACAUUUUGGUGAUGGAAGUAAAAUUAUUGUAACAUCUAGAGAUAGACAAGUACUUAAGAAUGGAGGUGUUGACAAAAUACAUGAGGUAAAGAUGUUAAAUAAAGAUGACUCUCUUCAACUUUUUUCUACAUUUGCAUUUAAACUAUUGAAUCCCGCUGCUGAUUUUCGAGAUCUAUCGAUCAAGUUUGUAGAGUAUGCCCGAGGAAGUCCGCUUGCUCUUAGAGUUUUGGGUUCUAAACUAUAUAAAAAGUCUAGAAAAGAGUGGGAAAGUGAGGUGGAUAAACUAAAAGAAUAUGACCAACCAAAAAUUUCACAGAUUCUGAGAAGUAGUUUUGAUGAUUUGGAUGAAGUAGAGAAGAAUAUAUUCCUUGAUAUUGCAAUCUUCUUUAAAGGAACAUUCAAAAAAGAUGUAGAAGAAAUUCUAAGUUGUUAUUAUAAGGGUGCUGUGUGUGGAAUAAGCAACUUGAUCGACAAGUGCCUACUUGGUAGCACAUCUUAUGAUGGACGGAUUGUUAUGCAUGAUAUGCUUCAAGAGAUGGGCAAAAACAUUGUUCGCAAAGAAUCUAUAGACCCUGGAAAGCGUAGUAGGUUAUGGAGUGCUAAAGACGUGUAUCAAGUGCUCAGUUAUAAUAAAGUAAGCUUUAGUUGUAUUUAUAUUCUUUUUUAUUUUUCAUAUCUUUCUGUGCUUCUAAUUAGGAAGUCAAUUAAUUAUGUGUUGUCAAAUGUUAACAAGUUUUAUUAUUUGAAUUUACUGCACAUAUCACUGUGAAUGAGCAUUAUCUUAGGAUAUAUAACACGAGAUUUUCACAAUGAUUUAUUGAGUUAGUAUCUAAUGCAUUGCUUUAAGAAAACAAAAUAAAAUUAGACCUUUUCUAAUAUAAUUACUUUUUUUCCUGAUAUAAUUGUUUAAUGGAAUGCCCAUUAAUUUCUUUGUGUUGAUACUUUACUUAUUGGAUUUUGUUCUUAGGGGAUUAAUCUAAUUCAAGGAAUAAAGUUAGACAUGUCUCAAAUUGACAACUUACGGUUAGAUCGUUCUAUUUUUGAGGGAAUGAUUAAUCUUAGAGUUAUCUUUUUCUACACUCCUGGGAUGUUUCCGGGUAAGCGUUGGGCAGAAAAACUUCUUGAAGACCAAGUUGAUGGCGUAUCUCUUCCUGAUGAGAUAAGGUAUCUUUGUUGGGAUAACUGUCCUUUCAAAUCUCUAUCAGGCUUUAAUCCAAAGAAUCUUGUUGUGCUGAAAUUAGUAAAUGGCCAUAUAGAACAUCUUUGGGAUGAUGAUGAUCAUCAGGUAUAUUCUUUCAUACUCUUUUCAUCCAAGAUACUUUCGAAAUUUAAAAAUAGUUUAUAAUAUGAUGGAUUCAAAAAUAGUUUAUAAUUUAUACUCCAUAAUACAUUAAAUAUAAAAUUAAUAUUAUUUAUCAUUUUUUAUACGGUCGAAAGUAAUUAUACGAUGUUUAGAAGUAAUAUAACUAUUUAUAUUUUCUUUGCACAGAAUCUUGUUAAUUUAAGGGAAAUUGAGGUUGGUGGUUGCAAGAAAUUAAGGAGGAUUCCUAGUCUAGUAGGAGCAAUCAACCUUGAAAUCCUUCACUGUAGGUGGUGUGAAAGUUUGGUUGAACUUCCUUGCCUCAGCCAUUUAGCAUCACUUAAGAAACUUGGACUUACAGGAUGUGAUAAUCUUAAGACGUUUCCCGAGAUCCCAAAACACUUUCCUAUUUUAGAAUUAGAUAGAACUAAAUUAGAAGAAGUGCCUGCUUCAAUUGAGCAUCUGGUCGGACUCAGAAAGUUGUGCUUGAAAAACUCAAACGUCAAUAUUGUAUCAAGAAAUAUUUCAAAGUUGGAAUCACUUUGUGAUAUGGAUCUUAGUCAUUGUCCAAUGGUCGAAUUCCCAGAAAUUCCAAGAAGCUUGAUAAAUUUAAACUUAUCUAAAACUCAAAUUGAAGAGGUGUCCUUGUCUCUCGACUCUCGACUCUCUAGGUAAUCUUCAAACAUUAGAUAUGAGUGGCUCAAGGGUAAAAAAUGUAUCGAUCAAGAUGGAAGCCGCCCUUCGUGAUCUGAAUCUUAGUCAUUGCCCAAUGACAGAAUUCCCAGAAAUCCCAAGAUGCUUAAGAAAAUUGAAUUUAUCUAGGACUCAAAUUAAGGAAGUGACAUUGUCUUUAGACUCUCUAAAUAAUCUUCAGAUGUUAAAGAUGAGCUGCUCAAGUAUUCAAAAGCUACAAUGCAGUAUCAUCCUAUUCGGUUUAAGAGAGAUUCCAACAGUUGAUGUGUCCUCACCAAUCUUGAUGUCUAAAAUCAUUUAUAGGUUGCAAAUGGAUCAUUGCGAGAGUCUUACAUUACUCUCAGAGCUUCCACCAUAUAUUCUGUACUUGGAUGCACAUGGUUGUACAUCAUUAGAAAAAGUAUCAUUUACAAAUCUCGAUGCUUUAGAUGAUGAUGUUGCCGAUUGGUUUUACAUGUUAUUCUGUAAUUGCUUCAGCUUGAGUCAAGAUUCAAUUGAUAACAUUGAGGCAAAUGCCAUGCUCAAAAUUGGAUACCUGGCAGAGAAACAGAGAUUGACAUGGGAGUAUCCUUAUCUUUAUAGAUUAUUUUGCUGUUUCACUGGAAACAAAAUUUCAACAAAUAUGUUCGAGCAUCAGAGCACGAGUUCUUCGUUAGUUUUGAAGAUAGCCCCAAAUGGGUCCAGUGGGAGCAGAUUCUUGGUCUUUUCCAUCUGCCUUGUGGCUGAUCUCACGCGCUGCCACCACCAUGAAUAUCUUAAAUUUACCUGUGAAUACCAAUUGACAACCACCAGUGGUGGUGAUUAUGAAAAGUUCACAAGUCAGUGGAGUUCCUGUACAGACCUUGAGACGGAGAGGAAGUAUAUGGGUGAUCAUGUGCUGAUUCUGUUUAGUGA
RNAcentral lists this long non-coding RNA (13321 nucleotides) under Gossypium raimondii (Peruvian cotton). RNAcentral describes it as "long non-coding RNA (GRAI_LNC009701)". The record is from RNAcentral. Lineage: Eukaryota; Viridiplantae; Streptophyta; Magnoliopsida; Malvales; Malvaceae.